AUGGCUGCCACCGGAUUCAAUUCCAAAGCGUCGCCGCUGGAGCCACACCCCAUCAGGGCUUUCAUAUCCAAGCGUGAGACCGGCGAGAACUCAGAGUCCACCUUCGAGGCCACCACCACGACCGUGCAGCACGUCCUCAGGAUCAAAGGAUACCCAGCGCUGAGCGAGAUCUACCCAAACGGCAAAGGCUUCAGGUCGGACUCCUUCCCCGUGGGAGGCACGAGCUGGCACAUCGACUUCUUCCCCAAUGGCGACAGCCCGGAGACAGCCGGCUUCGUGUCCGUUUUCGCCGUUCUCGAUCGCACCGCCACCGAGGUCUCCACCAUGGCCAAGGUCGGGUUCGACCUGCUCGACCAGGCCACCGGAGAGCCCGCGCCGCGCUACGCUAGGGCCGGCAACAUCCACGAUUUUACCCAGCUGGGUGAAUACUGGGGCUUUGGCGACUUCAUCAAGCGGGAAGAGCUCGACAAGGACAAGGACUUGCUCAAGGACGGCACUGCCCUGUCCGUCAGGUGCAACGUCAUGGUCCUGGAUUUCCUGGCAGCCCCCGCCAUGCCGCCGCCACCGGACUGGCCACUGCACAUGCGUGACCUCCUGCACAGCGGGCAGGGCGCGGACGUGAGGUUCCUGGUCGGCGAGGAGACUUUCGCCGCGCACCGGUGCCUGCUGGCGGCGCGGUCGGCGGUGUUCAAGGCGGAGCUCUACGGCCCAAUGAUGGAGGGCGCCACCCACAACAUACGGAUCGACGGCAUGAGAGCCGAGGUGUUCAACAACUUGCUGCAUUUCGCAUAUACCGACUCGCUGCAGCAAUCGGACCAAGACGACGACGUGGUGGUGGCGAUGGCCCAGCAUCUCAUGGAGGCUGCGGACAGGUAUGCCAUGGAGAGACUCAAGCUGCUCUGCGAGGACGUGCUACGCCGGAAAAUCAGCGUGGCGACGGCGGCAACCACUCUUGCCUUGGCUGAGCAGCAUGGCUGCCACAGGCUAAAGGAGGCGUGCUUUGAGCUCAUCCUCAAGUCUCCCACCACACUAGAUCAAGCCAUGACACCAGAUGACUUGGAUCAUCUCUCCAAAACCUGCCCUUCUCUUUUGAAUGAGUUGACCUCCAAGCAUGCCGCCAUUUAUUCUAAUCUCAACAAUGAAAAGGCGGAGAAAUCGCUUCCUUCGUCAAAUAGAAAAAGGAGAAGAGCACCGACACCAAGUUUGGGGGCGGCCACCGUUCGCCACACCCGCCGGCGCCCCGCUCCAACACCCAGCGCCAACCAGCUCCCUGCUCGCCGUCUUCUUGGUUGA
RNAcentral lists this ribosomal RNA (1293 nucleotides) under Triticum aestivum (bread wheat). Its description in RNAcentral is "partial small subunit ribosomal RNA". The record is from RNAcentral. Lineage: Eukaryota; Viridiplantae; Streptophyta; Magnoliopsida; Poales; Poaceae.